RNAcentral lists this ribosomal RNA (433 nucleotides) under uncultured bacterium. RNAcentral's name for it is "partial 16S ribosomal RNA". It matches the Rfam family "Bacterial small subunit ribosomal RNA", at positions 29 to 507 of the family's 1533-position model. The record is from RNAcentral.
AACGAACGCUGGCGGCAUGCCUAACACAUGCAAGUCGAACGAGACCUUCGGGUCUAGUGGCGCACGGGUGCGUAACGCGUGGGAACCUGCCCUUAGGUUCGGAAUAACUCCCCGAAAGGGGUGCUAAUACCGGAUAAUGUCUUCGGACCAAAGAUUUAUCGCCUUUGGAUGGGCCCGCGUUGGAUUAGCUAGUUGGUAGGGUAAAAGCCUACCAAGGCGACGAUCCAUAGCUGGUCUGAGAGGAUGAUCAGCCACCCUGGGACUGAGACACGGCCCAGACUCCUACGGGAGGCAGCAGUGGGGAAUAUUGGACAAUGAGCGAAAGCCUGAUCCAGCAAUGCCGCGUGAGUGAUGAAGGCCUUAGGGUUGUAAAGCUCUUUUAACCGGGAUGAUAAUGACAGUACCGGGAGAAUAAGCCCCGGCUAACUCCGUG